RNAcentral lists this ribosomal RNA (445 nucleotides) under uncultured bacterium. Its description in RNAcentral is "SSU rRNA". It matches the Rfam family "Bacterial small subunit ribosomal RNA", at positions 26 to 518 of the family's 1533-position model. The record is from RNAcentral.
AGAGCGAACGCUGGCGGCAGGCCUAAAACAUGCAAGUCGAACGAAACCUUCGGGUUUAGUGGCGGACGGGUGAGUAACACGUGGGAACGUGCCUUUUGGUUCGGAACAACUCAGGGAAACUUGAGCUAAUACCGAAUGUGCCCUUCGGGGGAAAGAUUUAUCGCCAUUAGAGCGGCCCGCGUCUGAUUAGCUAGUUGGUAGGGUAAAGGCCUACCAAGGCUACGAUCAGUAGCUGGUCUGAGAGGAUGAUCAGCCACACUGGGACUGAGACACGGCCCAGACUCCUACGGGAGGCAGCAGUUAGGAAUCUUGCGCAAUGGGCGAAAGCCUGACGCAGCCAUGCCGCGUGAAUGAUGAAGGUCUUAGGAUUGUAAAAUUCUUUCAGCGGGGACGAUAAUGACGGUACCGCAGAAGAAGCUCCGGCUAACUUCGUGCCAGCAGCCGC